This 512-nucleotide ribosomal RNA is filed under the name uncultured bacterium. Its description in RNAcentral is "partial 16S ribosomal RNA". It matches the Rfam family "Bacterial small subunit ribosomal RNA", at positions 28 to 507 of the family's 1533-position model. The record is from RNAcentral.
GAUGAACGCUGGCGGCGUGCCUAAUACAUGCAAGUCGAACGAAACUUCUUUAUCACCGAGUGCUUGCACUCACCGAUAAAGGGUUGAGUGACGAACGGGUGAGUAACCCGUGGGCAACCUGCCCCAAAGAGGGGGAGAACACUUGGCAACAGGUGCUAAUACCGCAUAACCAUAGUUACCGCAUGGUAACUAUGUAAAAGGUGGCUAUACUACCGCUUUUGGAUGGGCCCGCGGCGCAUUAGCUAGUUGGUAGGGUAAAGGCUUACCAAGGCAAUGAUGCGUAGCCGAAUUGAGAGGUUGAUCGGCCACAUUGGGACUGAGACACGGCCCAAACUCCUACGGGAGGCAGCAGUAGGGAAUCUUCCACAAAGGGCGAAAGCCUGAUGGAGCAACGCCGCGUGGGUGAAGAAGGUCUUCGGAUCGUAAAACCCUGUUGUUAGAGAAGAAAGUGCGUGAGAGUAACUGUUCACGUUUCGACGGUAUCUAACCAGAAAGCCACGGCUAACUACGUG